Molecule: long non-coding RNA, 291 nt
Filed under: Lathyrus oleraceus (garden pea)
Lineage: Eukaryota; Viridiplantae; Streptophyta; Magnoliopsida; Fabales; Fabaceae
Description: Pisum sativum (pea) long non-coding RNA (PSAT_LNC027569)
Source: RNAcentral
CAUGAUCGGUUGAGCAAUGUCACAUGUUUAAUUUAAAUGAACAUUUUAUUUUGGUUACACGCUGAAUAUCAUUUGGAUCGUGGGCUUCCAGCGCUUGCUCUUUCCACCUCCACGCUUGGCCCACUAACACACUUCCAUCCUAUUUUCAUUUUCUCUUUUUAAUUUCAUUUUUAUUUUCUGCCUUGGGUUGUUUUUAAUUAAUAAAAAAUAUUUUACUUAUUCAUAAAAAUACCAAAAAAUAUUUUUCACAUUCCUUAAUGUUUUAUUUAAUUUAUUUAAUUUUUAUUUUCA